GCCAAUGAAGACAGUCAGACCUGGGUCACAGGGCCCACAAGGAGAGGUGAAGAGUGGGGUUGGGUUAACCAGGUGGAGAAGGAUUUGAAGGAAGAUUUAAUUGCAGCUGCAUCUAUUUGAAAGCUGUUACAAAGAAGAUUGAACUAAGACUCUGCAGGCAUUUUCUGAUGCUCACAUCAUUGGAUGUAGUAAGAUAACAGCUGAGAAGAAAAGAUGAUGUCUCUUCAUAUAUGCAUCUUUUGAAGACCUGUGGCAAAAGCUGCAAGUUGAAGGCUCUUUGUUGGAUGCCAGACAAAGCUCCUUUCCCAGAAGAGUGGCGCAGCACUGGGACAGGCCACCAGGCAGGUGGGGGAUUUCCAUUUGGGAUUUCUGAGACUCAUCUAGACAAAGCUGUUGUUGCUGUGAUCUUAUGCUGGGGACAGCUCUGCUGUGAGAGUAAGGUUGGACCCCAGAGACACCAGAGGUUCGUUCCUCCAGCCCCUCCAAGACACUGUCUCUAAAUAACCGGGUGAUGUGGAAGACGAGGGGACAGCAGUGCAAAGAUCCACUUCGCUUUCUGGAUGGUUUUCUGCUGAAGCUUUCUUCUGCUAAUCCUUAACCCUGGGCAACCUGAGAAAUGGGUGCAUGGCAGGACACAUUUUCUGGCGUGGUGUCAUCAUUGCUGUAUGCACAGAAAGAAAAACUUCCAAGGUCCUUUUAGAUCUUUAGACUUCCACAGUCCUUUAGACCCUCCAGGGUCCCCCAGUAGCACACUCCAGGAAAACCGAACUGCUUGGCAGUGUACUUGAUGUCCUGUGAGCCCAGCGUCAGCUCAGUCUUUGUUCUCCCCAUCCCGUUCCAGACUUUCAUCAUGCUAUGAUACCUGGGAACAUAUGGGAAUCUUCACUACAGAUGUCUCUGAAAAGAUCUGAAAUGUUAAAGUUUUUAUCAUGUUCUGCUACUAAAAAGUGUGUUAGAAAGGAGUUGCAAAUCC
Molecule: long non-coding RNA, 973 nt
Organism: Anas platyrhynchos (mallard)
Lineage: Eukaryota; Metazoa; Chordata; Aves; Anseriformes; Anatidae
Source: RefSeq, a predicted model, not a curated record